This 303-nucleotide long non-coding RNA is filed under the name Nicotiana benthamiana. RNAcentral's name for it is "long non-coding RNA (NBEN_LNC039840)". The record is from RNAcentral. Lineage: Eukaryota; Viridiplantae; Streptophyta; Magnoliopsida; Solanales; Solanaceae.
UUUCUUCUAUCUUAUCAAUCUCACUUAUUAGUUAUUCAGCUAUAUAAUUUUCUCCUGCAUUAGUAGCAAUUAAGAUUGGUACUAGUAUUCUUAUUCCAUUUCUUAUUAUUCUUCCUUUUAUAUAAUAUUUGUUUUCUGAAUAUUCGUCUGAUAUAUUUUUCCUAAUUCUAGGUAUUAUGUUUAAAUUCCUUCUACUUAUACUUCUAUUAAGAAUAUUUCUUCUUUGUUCUAAAUUAUAAGUUACUAAUUCUAAGUCUUGGUUUUGGUUAGGUAGUAUAUAUAAUUAUUCUUUCCUAGGUAUUU